GAUGAACGCUGGCGGCGUGCUUAACACAUGCCAGUCGAACGGAAAGGCCAGUGCUUGCACUGGUACUCGAGUGGCGAACGGGUGAGUAACACGUGGGUGAUCUGCCCUGCACUUCGGGAUAAGCCUGGGAAACUGGGUCUAAUACCGGAUAGGACAAUGGUUUGGAUGCCGUUGUGGAAAGUUUUUUCGGUGUGGGAUGAGCUCGCGGCCUAUCAGCUUGUUGGUGGGGUAAUGGCCUACCAAGGCGUCGACGGGUAGCCGGCCUGAGAGGGUGUACGGCCACAUUGGGACUGAGAGACGGCCCAGACUCCUACGGGAGGCAGCAGUGGGGAAUAUUGCACAAUGGGCGCAAGCCUGAUGCAGCGACGCCGCGUGGGGGAUGACGGCCUUCGGGUUGUAAACUCCUUUCGCUAGGGACGAAGCGUAUUUGUGACGGUACCUGGAGAAGAAGCACCGGCUAACUACGUG
This 468-nucleotide ribosomal RNA is filed under the name uncultured bacterium. RNAcentral's name for it is "partial 16S ribosomal RNA". It matches the Rfam family "Bacterial small subunit ribosomal RNA", at positions 28 to 507 of the family's 1533-position model. The record is from RNAcentral.